AGUGAACGCUGGCGGUAGGCCUAACACAUGCAAGUCGAACGGCAGCACAGUAAGAGCUUGCUCUUACGGGUGGCGAGUGGCGGACGGGUGAGGAAUACAUCGGAAUCUACUUUUUCGUGGGGGAUAACGUAGGGAAACUUACGCUAAUACCGCAUACGACCUACGGGUGAAAGCAGGGGAUCUUCGGACCUUGCGCGAUUGAAUGAGCCGAUGUCGGAUUAGCUAGUUGGCGGGGUAAAGGCCCACCAAGGCGACGAUCCGUAGCUGGUCUGAGAGGAUGAUCAGCCACACUGGAAUUGUGACACGGUCCAGACUCCUACGGGAGGCAGCAGUGGGGAAUAUUGGACAAUGGGCGCAAGCCUGAUCCAGCCAUACCGCGUGGGUGAAGAAGGCCUUCGGGUUGUAAAGCCCUUUUGUUGGGAAAGAAAAGCAGCAGGUUAAUACCCCGCUGUUCUGACGGUACCCAAAGAAUAAGCACCGGCUAACUUCGUG
Molecule: ribosomal RNA, 492 nt
Filed under: uncultured bacterium
Lineage: Bacteria
Description: partial 16S ribosomal RNA
Rfam family: Bacterial small subunit ribosomal RNA
Source: RNAcentral